CCUAGGGGAGGCAGCAGUAGGGAAUAUUGGGCAAUGGGCGGAAGCCUGAACCAGCCAAGUAGCGUGCAGGAUGACGGCCCCAUGGGUUGUAAACUGCUUUUAUACAGGAAUAAAGUUAGCCACGUGUGGUUAUUUGUAGGUACUGUAUGAAUAAGGACCGGCUAAUUCCCUGCCAGCAGCCGCGG
RNAcentral lists this ribosomal RNA (185 nucleotides) under uncultured Prevotellaceae bacterium. RNAcentral's name for it is "partial 16S ribosomal RNA". It matches the Rfam family "Bacterial small subunit ribosomal RNA", at positions 338 to 520 of the family's 1533-position model. Lineage: Bacteria; Pseudomonadati; Bacteroidota; Bacteroidia; Bacteroidales; Prevotellaceae. The record is from RNAcentral.